GCACAAAUGAUGACUUUUACUCGGCUACCCCUUCAGGACUACUUGGGUGAUGCAAACACGAGUUUCUGAUGUG
This is a small nucleolar RNA of Mercurialis annua (annual mercury), 73 nucleotides long. RefSeq annotates it as small nucleolar RNA snoR60. The transcript has a single exon. Lineage: Eukaryota; Viridiplantae; Streptophyta; Magnoliopsida; Malpighiales; Euphorbiaceae. The record is from RefSeq and is a predicted model, not a curated record.